Macrobrachium nipponense is the source of this 1122-nucleotide long non-coding RNA. RefSeq lists it as uncharacterized. The transcript is spliced from 2 exons. Lineage: Eukaryota; Metazoa; Arthropoda; Malacostraca; Decapoda; Palaemonidae. The record is from RefSeq and is a predicted model, not a curated record.
GUGAGAACCGUUGUUGCUUUAAAGGCUCAAUGAAUCCUUUUCCUCCUCCGAUUCCUUCCAAGCCAGGAUCCGCCCCUCGACGGAAAGGCCUGUUCUUCGGCCGUGAGAAUCGCAGGAGGAAGGGAAAGGAUGGAAAUAGGUCGGGGGAAGAAAAAAAAGAAGAAGAUGAAGAAGUCGGGCUACCUAUAAAGGAGGGAGAGAGUCUCUCGUGGCAUCACAAGUUCUUCUCCCGAUCGCCAUGAAGGUUCUGGUGACUUUCCUCGCAGCAUUAACAGCUGCUGCAGAAUGCAGCAGCUUCUUCCAGACCUACGGCCUCCCUCCCCCACCCCCUAGCCCCCCUCUCCCACCAUACAACGGAGGGGGCAUCUCCUGCCCCGACUGGCAGAUCUUCCAUAACGGAAGAUGCGUCGCCCCCGAAGUCACGAGAAACGUCUACGUCUACAACGUGCCCCACGUUCCAAAGCCCCCCGGGCAAAGACACCCCACCCCACCCCCCAAGGUCGAGCACAACGUGGUCUUCGUCCGGCUGCCCGAGGAAUUCGGAGACGAAGACCCCAUCGUGGUUCCUCCUCCCCAGCAGAAGAACAUCGUCUACGUCCUGAAGAAGAAGUCUGACCGUGACGGAACUGACGUCAUCCACGUCCCGGCUCCUCCCAAGAGCAGCCCAGAGGUGUACUUCGUGAAUGUUGGCCAGGGGGAGAACCCUCUUCUACCGACGGGGGAGGACCUCCAGAGCGCCUUGUCCAAGGGCGGCGCCGAGUUCACCGCCCAGGUCGUAGGGGGAGGAGAUUCGUUUGGGCACAAGAUCAUCACCAACAAUGGGCAUCAGGAGAUCCACACCAUCUAUGGGCCUCCAGACAUCACUACCAUCUAUGAUCCUCCUGUAAAUCCACCUUCCGUCGUGUACAGCUCGCCAUAAUUACUUCCUUAGUCGAAGUUGCUUCAGUUCAAACUCAAAUUCAAAAGUGUAUUCAUGCACAUGAAUACACUUAUUAAACAAAUGAAAAAAUAUAUGAGCUGGUGAAAAUAACUUAUCCCCCGGGUCUUAUCACCUGGGUCUUUUGACUGCUCAAGUUAUGUGUGAUGUUUUCCAUUACGUCGAAAUAUAUUGAUUUAAUCAUC